UCAAAAAAAAAAAAAAAAAAAACACACACACAAGAAAAAAAAGAAUGAAGGAAUGAACUACUGACAUAUGCAACAGCAUGGAUGACAAUCAAAUGCAUUAUACUGGAGUGAAAUAACUCUGACUUAAAAUGUACAUAUUGUAUGAUUCCAUGAUGUGACAUUUUGGAAAAGGCAAAAAAUAUAGGUAUGCAUCAGAGUCAGUUUGUGUUGCUAUAAAUACCUGAGAUCGGGUGAUUUAUAAAGAAAAGGGGUCUAUUUGGUUCACAGUUCUACAAGCUGUAUAAUAAGCAUGGCAUGAGCAUCUGCUUCUGCGGAAGCCUCAGGCUGCUUCCACUCAAGCAGAAGGCAAAAGGAAGCUGGUAUGUGCAGAGGUCACAUGGUGAGGGGGGACGCAAAAGGAGAGAGGGGGAGCUGCCAGCCUCUUUUUAACAACCAACUUUCUCAGAAGCUA
Molecule: long non-coding RNA, 451 nt
Filed under: Homo sapiens (human)
Lineage: Eukaryota; Metazoa; Chordata; Mammalia; Primates; Hominidae
Description: non-protein coding lnc-FAM50B-4:2
Source: RNAcentral